This 5634-nucleotide long non-coding RNA is filed under the name Octopus vulgaris (common octopus). The record is from RNAcentral. Lineage: Eukaryota; Metazoa; Mollusca; Cephalopoda; Octopoda; Octopodidae.
UAUAUAUUUAUAUAUGUAUAUAUACAUAAUUGUAUGAAUGUAUAAGUACCUGGAGAAUACAUAUAUUUUCACACCUACAUACUUAUCUUCCUAAUGGCCUACCUCCCUAUCCAUAUACAUACCCCCUUGUCUAUGUUACCUACCCACCUAUCUAUGUAUCUAUUUUUCUGUCCAUCUGUCCAUUACAUAUGUACAUAAAUAUGUAUAUAUAUAUAUAUAUAUAUAUAUAUAUAUAUAUAUAUAUAUAUAUAUAUAUAUAUAUAUAUAUAUAUAUAUAUAUAUAUGUAUGUGUGGGUGUGUGUGUGUGUGUAUAUGUAUAUAUGUAUGCAUGUAUGUAUGUAUGUAUGUAUGUAUGUAUGUAUGUAUAUAUUAAUGUUUGUGUAUAUUUUAAUCUAUACACAUACAUAUAUAUCAAUAUAAGCGUACAUUAUUUGUAUAUGUAUAUUUAAAUGUAUAUGUGUAUAUGUGUAUUUUUGUAUGACUGCAUAUGUGUCUUUUUAUAUAUAAAUGCUCACCUAUAUGUAUAGGCUGAAUAUUGUUAUGCAUUUAUAUAUAUCUGUUUAAAAAUGCCUGUAUACAUAUGGAUAUAUAUAUAUAUAUAUAUAUACAUGUGUAUAAAUAUUUUUCCCAAUGAAAUUCAUAUAUUUCUCCAUGCCCUAUAAUGGACAUCCGACCUUUCCACUGCUAAUAUUUGCCAUGAACCUUUUGUUAGUAUUUACCAUAGACCUAUGGUAGCAUUUACUACAGUUUAAAAUAACAAUUAUCUGAGACUGAAGGUUAUGUUUAUUACAGACCUUAUAUAGCAUUCAUCACAUUCUGGGGGCAAAAAUAUACUAUGAGUAUCAGGUGAUAUUAAUAUGUACCUACUGCUAAGAUAAGGCCCACCAAACUGAGGGUAGAAGAAAAUCUAGAGUAAAAGUUCUAGUUUAUGGUAAUGUCUAUAAGAACUUUAAGUGGACAUUUAUCAGUUGGACAAUAUACAGAAUAGAUCUAGGGCAACAUUUAUCAAAUUUCUGGAGUCAGAGUUACCAUAUCUUAGAAUUGAGGUUAAUAUUUAUCACAACACAGAGAUAACCUUUUCACAGUUUGUCGGCAAUAUUCACUUUACAGUGUAAUGUAUGUUCAAGCCCCAGGUUAACCAUAGCGCAAGAGUAACAUGUACUACAAUAUGGAGUAACAUUUAUCACAGUUCUGAUAAUAGCAUUUAACUCAUAAUGUAACAUUUCUACUGACCCUAGGUUAACCCCAACUGUAGGAUAACAUUGAUCACAAAUUGGAUGACAUCACAGUAUGAUGAUAAUAUUUACCUCACAGUGUAAUAUUUUCCCACACUUUAGGUUAACUACUGUUGUGGGAAAACAUUCACUGUACCCCAAGAGUAGCUUUUACCAGGAGAUAAACAUUUGCCAGAAUUUGAUGCAAACAUUUACCUCACAUGAAAGGUGAAAUUUGCUCCUUACUUAAGGUGAAAUUUGCCACAAUCUGAGGUAACACCCAUUAAUAAUCCAUAUUAAAAAUCUGACUUUCAACACACCCAUUCAGGCACUACACUCAACCUAUUGAACACUCAGACAUCAUACUCAGUUCAUCUAAUGCUCAGAUACACUGCUCAGCUCAUUUAACAAUCAAAAAACUAUAAUCAAAAUUAAUUCAUAUCAUACUAAGAACAAAACUCAUUUCGUCCACAAUAUUCAACACCCCCCUGCCACAUACACAAAAGCACACACAAAUACUUUAACAUUAUAUUCACUCAAACCACCCAACACUCAGACCUUAUACUCAUUUUGUUCCAAUACCCACACACUUUCAACUAAUUUCCUUCCUGUUGUGCUCAGGACACUUCAAUGAGUUACACUUGCCAACUCGAGAAUCCCCUGAUUUUUAUUUUACUCAAGAGGAAGGUGAUCAUACAAUUCCAUAUUUCCAGCUACUUCUGCUGCUGCUGCUGCUGCUACUACUACUACUACUACUACUACUACUACUACUACUACUACUACUACUACUACUACUACUAUUACUACUACUACUAACAGCAACAACAACAUUAGUAUCAGCAACGAUAUAUGCAUAUAUAUAUAUAAAGUUGUUUUAUAAUUAUAAACGUAAUUAACCCUUUCAUUACCAACCCGGCUGAAACCGGCUCUGGCUCUGUUGUACAAAUGUCUUGUUUUCAUAAGGUUUUAAUUAAAAUCUCCCACCAAACCUUAUUCACAAUUUAUGUUCUUAACACUAGCUGAAUGAUAACUAAGUUAUUUUACUAAAUUCUUUGUUAUAUUUAAAGUAAUUGAAAGAAACACAGAGUAUCUCAAAAUAAAUACAGUAAUGAAAGGGUUAAGGGAUUAGCAAAAAGUUGCUUCACCAUAUACUGAAAAUUUAGUCAAAACUGCUAAUUCUUCUACUACAAUAUAUCUCCACAGACAGCUACUUGGUAAAAUUAUACACACACACACACACACACACACACAUAUAUAUAUAUAUAUAUAUAUAUAUAUAUAUAUAUAUAUGUAUAUACAUAUAUAUAUAUGUGUCUGUGUAAUCGUCGCAGCAUAAGCAGCAGUGACUACAACAGCAAGAACAAAGACAAAGAGAAAAGCAAUUACAACCAUGAAAUGCAACAGUUGCAACAAUAGCAGCAACAACAACAACAACAGUAGUUAUUACAAUAACAACUAUGAUCCUAUACAUAACUUAACAUGUAUUUUUUUAUUUUACCAUAAAUGCAUAUUUACAAAAGAAAACAUACUCACCCCUAACCGCCUCUGAGGAGAACUAAAAAAACUCCUAAGUUCAAUCUGGGCCACAGGUAGUACUUAUUGUAUUGCGAAUCAAGGUAUUUUAUUUUCUUCUUGCCUCAGUACAUUUAGUCUAAAGCAGGUCUCACAAGCCUAUCAUCUUACUAAAAUGGAGAAAGAUUCCAGCUAUUAAAAGUGUUAAAAUGUAAAUAAGAAAAAAAUAUGUUUGUUGUUUCAAGAAAGUGUAAAUUUGUAAACCCAUAUAAAUUUCGGUGGCAUUGAAAAAAAAAACACAAAAAAGGGACAAACAAUAGAUGCACUAUGUUUGCACAGAUGAAAAUACUUUAGUAUAUAUAUAUAUAUAUAUUGCAUUGUAUUAUAUUAUGUAUAUAUUAAACUGGGAAAAAGGCGGUGAGCUGGCAGAAACGUUAGCAUGCCGGGCGAAAUGCGUAGCCGUAUUUUGUCUGUCGUUUCGUUCUGAGUUCAAAUUCUGCUGUGGUCGACUUUGCCUUUCAUCCUUUCGGGGUCGAUAAAUAAAGUACCAGUUUCACACAGGGGUCGAUGUAAUUGACUUAAUCCCUUUGUCUGUCCUUGUUUGUCCCCUUGUGGGCAAUAAAGAAAUAUAUAUAUUAAACUGGGAAUUACUUUCUCCAUUCUUCGGGCCGCUCAUCUCCUGUCAGAUGAGUACCUUUCGGGAUCAUUUCGUAAGGAAGGGGUGUACUUUAGUAAUCGUGUGAGAGUGUGUGUAGAGUGUCACAGCAUCAAAUUGACCAAUACCAAGAACAAAAAAGCAAACAAAUAAAUAAAUACAUAGAAGCAGGAUGAGUAAAGGGACACAAUCCUGAUUAUAACAUCCAAAUGUGAAAAAAAAAAUAUAUAAAGAGGAAAAUAUUUUGAAGUCUUACUUCACGUUAUCAUAUAUAGUUGUUUCAUAAUAUGUUCUUCUAUUGGUUUGCCUGCUGUGGGAGGAGAAUAUAAAAGUCUGAAACACACAUAAAGAAAUAUGGCCUAGUGGUUAGAGCAGAAGACUUCGCGGUUGAGGGAUCGCGGGUUCGAAUCUCAGACCGGGCGAUGUAUGUGUUUAUGAGCCAAAACACCUAAGCUUCACGUGGCUCCAGCAGAAGGUGAUGGCGAACUUCUGCUGACUCUUCCACCACAACUUUCUCUCACUCUUUCCUCCUGCAUCUUGCAGCUCACCUGCGACGGACUGGCGUCCCAUCCAGGUGGGGAACCUAUAUGCCAAGGAAACCGGGAAACUAGCCCUUAUGAGCCAGGCAUGGCUUGAGAAGGAACAAACAACAAACAAAACAUAGAGAAAUAAAGUUCGCCCUCUUCAUGCAGUGAGAUAAGGGUAACUUAUUAACCCUUUUGUUACCAUAUUUCUAUUGAAACACACUGUCUUCAUUUCAAUUAAAUUUUGAAUAUAAUGAAGAAUUUAGUAAAAAUAUCUUAGACAUUUUUAAGCUGGUGUUUGGGAUAGAAAUUAAUAUGAAAUUUUGACUGAAGUUUUUAAUUUAAAUCAUUUUUUAUAACGGAGUCUGUAUCCCAGUUUUGGGCAUGUUAGUAUCAAAAAGGAUUAAUAAUUAGAUGUACUGAGCCAAUUUGAUUGAAAUGCCUUGUUCAGAAACACAUACACAGUGUUAGUGACAAACCUCAUAAACUGUUGUGAGCCUUUGGUCCAUUGAGUUACCGUUUGCUCUAUGAACUUAGAGAUCUAUUUUUGUUCUUUUUCUUUUUUAUGUUCUCUAUUUGAAAUUCCAUAGAGUAUCUUCUGCUGCAGGCCAAAAUAUACUUUCUGUGCCCAUCACCCCUGAAAAUUUAAAUCAGUACAUCCAGUUUUCUUUUUUUUUUUUAACUGAUUAUUAAUUAGUAUAGACAACCAUAAACUAAUAUUAAUUAAUAUAGAUUAAUAUAAUUUGGUAGAAUUUAUUUAUCUGAUGAUGACAUCCUUGAAAAAAAAAAAUUACAUAUAAAAGACAUGCUAAUGGAAAUGCUUUAUUUCCAAAGACAAAAGAAAAAUAAAAAAAAAGAGAAAGGAAAUAUGAUAAUUAUAAUCCAAACUAGAAACAAGGAAAGAUGUCAGGUAAUUAUUAAAAAAAAAAAACCCCUCAAAAAUACAAAAAAAAAACCAAAAAGAAAAUGAUGAUGAUGAUGAUGAUGUUGAUGAUGAUGAUGAUGAUGAUGAUGAUGAUGAUGAUGAUGAUGAUGAUGAUGAUGAUGGUGGUGGUGGUGAUGAUAUUGGUGAUAAUGAUGAUGUUUAUGAUGUCUGAAACUCUAGUUAGCUCCAUCCUCUUCAACUGACAUAAUCAGUGGAGAAACAGAAAAAGAAUAUUUAUUUUGGAGCUAUAUCGGAGGAUUUCAGCAUAUUUUUGUUGUUUUGUUUUAUUUAAUUGGUUUUCGUUUUUCUUUGUUUGUGUUUUGGAUAAAUUGUCAUUUUUUUUUAAAAAAAAAAAAAACAUUGUUUUGUUUGUUUGAUUUCUGUUUCAUAAUCUUUGUACUUUUUUUUUUCUCUUAAUUUUUAUGUCCUCUCAUUAAUAUGCUGAGUUAAUUAUUUUAAUUGUUAAAAUUGAUGAUGAUGAUGAUGAUGAUGACAAUGAUAAUAAUGAUGAUGAUGAUGAUGACCAUGAUGCUGUGAUGUUAUCUAUUGCUUGUACUGAAAAUAUUGUUCUAAAAAAUGUUAACCUUAUAUGUUACACAGAUAUACAUACUAAAAUACAUGCAAGGUACAUAAAUACACACAUACCUGUGUGUGUGUGUGUGUGUGUGUGUGUGUAUAAUGUGCACAUUUUACACACACUCAUGUAUAUAUGUAUAUAUAUAUAUAUAUAUAUAUAUACAUACAUACAUACACACAUAUAUAUAAUUACAUACAUACAAAACGUAUAUACAUGCAUACAUACCU